RNAcentral lists this long non-coding RNA (617 nucleotides) under Selaginella moellendorffii. Its description in RNAcentral is "long non-coding RNA (SMOE_LNC000929)". The record is from RNAcentral. Lineage: Eukaryota; Viridiplantae; Streptophyta; Lycopodiopsida; Selaginellales; Selaginellaceae.
UGAAUUAAUGAAGAAGGUUGAAGAGCAUGGAAUGAAAAGACACACGCCCAGCUUGUGAAGACAACGUGAUUAGUUCUUGGAAGAACACCAAGUGGAUUAGAUGCAGCUUAAGGUACAGCUCACGUUGAUCAUUUGUGGACCAGAAUCAAUAAAUGUCUGCUAGUUCUGGGAAAUUGAGAAUGAAACAUUUGAAAUGUUUCCACUGAUGUAUUUUAGAUUGUCUGAACGCCUUACUCCAUGUAUUCUGUAAAAGUGAAGAUUGGGAAAGUCUUUUGUACCUUUAAUUCAAGUAGAACCAAGAAGUUUGGACCUUUACAAACAAAUGUAGAAACAGCACCUGCUCAAACCUUGCCAAUUACCCACAAAUGGGAUCGGGGGAGUACUCUGGACUAGGAAUUCCAAGCCAUUGCUCACUUUGAAGCGAAUUCCCAAGACAAAGGACCAUGACAUAUAUCUUUCCACUCCUUUCUCUUAUCUCCCAUUUCUCUUUCUUCUCAAUCUCCAAAAUCGAAAGGAAUUCCAUGGACCAGCUCGCCAGCCACACAAUCCCGGCCAACACCACACCGCUCGUCAAUAUCUGGGGGAUUCAUCACGACCCGGCCCAGAGUCCUGAGCAG